UAACGCGUAGGUAACCUGCCUUGUAGCGGGGGAUAACUAUUGGAAACGAUAGCUAAUACCGCAUAACAAUGGAUGACCCAUGUCAUUUAUUUGAAAAGGGGGCAAAUGCUCCACUACAAGAUGGACCUGCGUUGUAUUAGCUAGUAGGUGAGGUAACGGCUCACCUAGGCGACGAUACAUAGCCGACCUGAGAGGGUGAUCGGCCACACUGGGACUGAGACACGGCCCAG
Molecule: ribosomal RNA, 230 nt
Filed under: uncultured bacterium
Lineage: Bacteria
Description: partial 16S ribosomal RNA
Rfam family: Bacterial small subunit ribosomal RNA
Source: RNAcentral